RNAcentral lists this long non-coding RNA (742 nucleotides) under Anas platyrhynchos platyrhynchos (common mallard). RNAcentral's name for it is "lncRNA (ENSAPLG00000020343.1)". The record is from RNAcentral. Lineage: Eukaryota; Metazoa; Chordata; Aves; Anseriformes; Anatidae.
CCUUUUCUUUCAAUAGCUUUAGGCCAGAUUUCCUUCUUCCGAGUAAUUGAUUCUAACACGUAAUCGUAAAACAGAAGAUAAUAAAUUAUCGAGACCUGAUUUUUCUGUUCAGGCUGGUCUCUUUUAAUUACCGUGUGCAGUCUGAAAAUACGGGACUAUCGGGGCAGGGGGGUCGUUUGAAGAAAUCUCCAAACAGGCUGUGCAUGGAGUAGGGCUUCACAUUUCCCUUACACCUCGGAAAAUUUCCCCUUCCCUUUCGGUCUGAAAGCAGCAAGCAGCCCUAAACACCUCUCUCAAUCUAGACACUUGGCUACCCUAACACAGCUGGGUAGUCUCAGGAACCCACUGGUCAAAAUCAAUGCCUUGCAAUCAAAAUUUUCCUUCCAGUCUGCAGAAUGGAGGUAGCAGUUGAAGCAUUUCUGCAGUCCUGGCAAGGAAGCACUGGCUUUCUUAGGUCUCGGUUCUCGAUCCCUCACCCGCAGGCAGUAUGGGCAACGCCAUGCUCCAGGCGUAUUUGUGGACACCAUGGAAGAAAGGGUAUGAGCGAUGGAGACAACAGCUUAGAAGCUCCAACGACGCAACGCGCCUACACCCGGUGUCUGUGGAAGCCAGCCACCAGUCACCUUGCAGGCAGACGCCAGUAGCGUCUUGCAGCAAUCUUCAGACGGCGACAGGAAGUUAGAUGAAGCCAAGGGAGCUAUUUCCAUGUGGGCACCGAAAUGCAAGAACUGACAAGGUGCUU